This is a non-coding RNA of Ictalurus furcatus (blue catfish), 429 nucleotides long. The record is from the annotation of a RefSeq genome assembly. Lineage: Eukaryota; Metazoa; Chordata; Actinopteri; Siluriformes; Ictaluridae.
AUGGUCGAGUGUCAUUGUGUCAUAUCACAUCCUCCAACUCAGCACCUGCAGUCGCUCCCAGCUGCAGCAGUGCAGUCUCUCUACAAUCUGACUGAGGGAGGUUUUUCUGGUCCGGUGGUGAAGCCUUCCGUGUCUCUGCUCCCUCCCUCCUCUCUGCAGCUCUCUGAGGGCUCGGCCUCGUUGCUCUGCCUGCUCUCGGCCUAUUCUCCACAGGGGGCGCUGCUGAGCUGGACCGUAGACGGUGCCGAGGUGAACGAGGGGGUUCUGACCAGUACAGAAGAACAGAAGAACGGCAUCUACAGCCGCAGCAGCACCCUGACCCUCAGCAAAGAACGCUGGGAAGAGGCCGAGGUGUUCGGCUGUACCGUGUCCCACCACGACACCACUCAGAUCGCCUCGUUCCGAAAGAGCCGCUGUGAAGUCCACUAG